GGUUCUAAUGUCUGAUGAGAAAGCCCGCGGUCUCACCCGUGGAGGGUCAUUGGAAACUGGAAGACUUGAGUGCAGAAGAGAAAAGUGGAAUUCCAUGUGUAGCGGUGAAAUGCGUAGAGAUGGAGAGGAAACACCUGGGGGAGAAGGGCGACUUUGUGUCUGUAACUGACAGAGAGGCGCGAAAGUGUGGGAGAGCAAACAGGAUUAGAUACCCUGGUAGUCCACGCUGUAAACGAUGAGUGAUAAGUGUUAGAGGGUUUCCGCCCUUUAGUGGUGAAGUUAACGCAUUAAGCACUCCGCCUGGGGAGUACGGCCGCAAGGGUAAAACUCAAAGGAAUUGACGGGGGCCCGCACAAGCGGUGGAGCAUGUGGUUUAAUUGGAAGCAACGCGAAGAACCUUACCAGGUCUUGACAUCCUCUGACAACCCUAGAGAUAGGGCUUCUCCUUCGGGAGCAGAGUGACAGGUGGUGCAUGGUUGUCGUCAGCUCGUGUCGUGAGAUGUUGGGUUAAGUCCCGCAACGAGCGCAACCCUUGAUCUUAGUUGCCAUCAUUUAGUUGGGCACUUUAAGGUGACUGCCGGUGACAAACCGGAGGAAGGUGGGGAUGACGUCAAAUCAUCAUGCCCCUUAUGACCUGGGCUACACACGUGCUACAAUGGACGGUACAAAGAGCUGCAAGACCGCGAGGUGGAGCUAAUCUCAUAAAACCGUUUUCAGUUCGGAUUGUAGGCUGCAACUUGCCUACAUGAAGCUGGAAUCGCUAGUAAUCGCGNAUCNCAUGUCGCGGUGAAUACGUUCCCGGCUUGUACACACCGCCCGUCACACCACGAGAGUUUGUAACUACCGGAAGUCGGUGGGGUAACCAGUUGGAGCCAGCUAACCUACUAGAGU
Molecule: ribosomal RNA, 891 nt
Filed under: bacterium 21F07-Zb2-7
Lineage: Bacteria
Description: bacterial SSU rRNA
Rfam family: Bacterial small subunit ribosomal RNA
Source: RNAcentral